UCUUCCCUCUCACCAGUGCAAACCAACAUUAGUAAAUGAAGAGAGGCUGUGUGAGGGCGUCAACGGUGGCCCACUUGGGAGUCAGCCUCCUUCCUCGGAUCGGCUGUGCGACUUUGGCAUCUCGCAAUAUGCCUGCUCUUCGGUUGCAUCAUCUCUGUCCUCUGGCAACCUCGUCACGCUGCUGACUUGCGAGGCGCAGAGCGGCACCAUCAGCAGCGCAGAGACGUGGAAGCUUUUCUUCCAGAAAGUCGCAGGAGUUCUGGAGGAUGCUCUGUCAG
Molecule: long non-coding RNA, 278 nt
Organism: Sinocyclocheilus anshuiensis
Lineage: Eukaryota; Metazoa; Chordata; Actinopteri; Cypriniformes; Cyprinidae
Exons: 4
Source: RefSeq, a predicted model, not a curated record